AUGCAAGUGCUCAUGAAGCCUUUGAAGCCAGUCCAAGCUCCAAGAACCACAUUCCUUGUGAAGGAAUUGCUAUAUGUGCCAAGGACGAUCUACCGCAUUCUGACCAAAACCCUUAGACCAAUCAAAGGCCACAAAUCUGAAGAAGAAGAGGUUGUUGGCAUCAUGAAGAAUCUGCUAUUCAACAUCAUACAUGGCAUUCCCAUCAACUACCAUGAUUUCUUCAUGAGAACCGUGGCUAAUGCUGCUCUGUCACCUUUUAAGUUGAAGCCUUACGCUCCCUGGAUCAUGAAAUUCAUCAGAUCAAGGUCUUCAAUUCAUUACGAGGAACAUUGUCAAAAUCAUCUCAACUAUUUGCCUCAUAUUGAAGUCCUCAAAAGGACUAUUUCCUCAGCUGAUGAGAAAGGCAGAGCUGCUGUUAUUGAUGAAGGCACUCGUCCAUUGGAUGGUCAGUUUCGCAAAGCUGCAUCUUAUUCCACCAAUGAUAACUCUGCAACCCAAGACUCCGCCGCAAAAGCUUCAAAACCUAUUCCUCAAGCCACUGCUCCACGAGUGAUGACUGAUCGGGUGCUUCUUCUAAGUCUUCAUCAGAAGGUCGAUCGCAAUCACAAGUGGGUCAACAGUCAAUUUGGAUCAAUUCUUUAG
This 642-nucleotide ribosomal RNA is filed under the name Triticum aestivum (bread wheat). RNAcentral describes it as "partial small subunit ribosomal RNA". The record is from RNAcentral. Lineage: Eukaryota; Viridiplantae; Streptophyta; Magnoliopsida; Poales; Poaceae.